RNAcentral lists this ribosomal RNA (372 nucleotides) under uncultured organism. Its description in RNAcentral is "bacterial SSU rRNA". It matches the Rfam family "Bacterial small subunit ribosomal RNA", at positions 526 to 896 of the family's 1533-position model. The record is from RNAcentral.
CGAACCGUGCGAACGUUGUUCGGAAUCACUGGGCUUAAAGGGCGCGUAGGCGGCUUGCCAAGUCAGGGGUGAAAUCCUGCAGCUCAACUGUAGAAGUGCCUUUGAUACUGGCGAGCUCGAGGGAGGUAGGGGUGGGUGGAACUUCUGGUGGAGCGGUGAAAUGCGUUGAUAUCAGAAGGAACGCCGGUGGCGAAAGCGACCCACUGGAUCUCUACUGACGCUGAGGCGCGAAAGCUAGGGGAGCAAACGGGAUUAGAUACCCCGGUAGUCCUAGCCCUAAACGAUGGGCACUAGAUUGCAGACUGAUCAUGGGUUUGCAGUCGAAGCAAAAGUGUUAAGUGCCCCGACCUGGGGAGUAUGGUCGCAAGGCUG